CCAGCACCGCCGCUGCGCGAAGGAGGCAUUUCCGUUUAUGGCUGUUUAGCUCCUUAAACAUUUCAAGUCAUACAGAAAUAACUAGUGUAAAAAAAAAAAAAGGUGGCUGUGUAGGUUCUUUCCCGUGAGGUGCAGGUCAGGCUCUUCAGCCCCUUUAGGACCACCAACGUGCCUGGUCCCCACGACUCGCGGCUGCCUCCUCUCGGGCCGGGGCAGGGAGGAGCCGCUACUGCCGGUUAUCUUCGGACACGUUGUGGGCCAGCCAGUUCACUCGGUUUCCAGCUCUCGCGGAGGGCUUCGUUAAACUUCACUCGGAAGUGCUUCGUUAAACUUCACUCGGAAGUGCUUCGUUAAACUUCACUCGGAAGUGCUUCAGCGCCUCCUCUGUUUUCCCCGGUGCCAGGGAGUCCUUGAGAUACCGGAUGUCUUUGGAGCAGCUGAGCUCAGGCAGGCCUGCUGCCUGCAUCAGGGCAAAGAGGUGGAGGAAGAGAAGCCCGUGGCGCCGCAGGAUGGUGUUAGGCCCUUUCACAGUAGCCCCGGAACCUUUCAAAUUUCUCAUAUUAUUAGUCUUCCCCUGCUCAAUCACAUGGACAAAGUCAUAGGUGAGGAUGAAUGGGACACGCUGACGGUUGAUUCCAAACGUGGUCUUGAAAUUCCCCCAGAAAGUGGCAAAAAUCAAUGUGGAACAGCUGCCCACUCGCUCGGAUCAUGAUGUUGUCGCUGUGCCGAUCACCGAUGCCCAGCACGUACGUGGCCACACAGUAGCCAGCACAGGAGAGGGUGAACUCUUCGUUGCCUCCAUCCAUGUUGCGGUUGUUGAGUUGGAUGUUGGCGAUGGUGUCUGGGUGGAGUAGCACCUCAACGACGCCUGUGUGGUCCCCAGUGGGGAGGCAGCCUUAGGGGGUCAUCCUCAGGUCCAGCCCCUGCUGCUUCCACAGGACGUCCAUGAGCCGGAUCGUCUGCAUGUGUGAAACUACAACUGUGUUUAUAAGGAGGAUGCCACUGGAAAUGAAUUCUGCUCAAAGAAUGAACUCUCUACACACAUCAUCUUUCUCUCACAGACAUCAUACCACCUCAAGCACUGCAGCCUCAAAAGGGGAAAUUCCUGAGUGAUUCUUCUUGAAGCUUAAAUUCUGUGGGAUUUUUAUGGUGGAAAACUUAGGAGAGGAACCAGACAGCCCAUCUAGGAGCUGAUACUCUUCUAGUGAAGACCACCCUUGCAGGAAAGCAUCUGUCCUCCCAGAAUCCGGAUGUUAGGUUUGAGAAUUUACUAAUGUGUGACUUCUCUGAAACAAUUUAUUUAGGAAAAAAGGUUGAAUAAAUAUAUACUCAAUAAAAGUAUUGCAAAAAUUAAAUAAA
This 1359-nucleotide long non-coding RNA is filed under the name Homo sapiens (human). Its description in RNAcentral is "long independently transcribed non-coding RNA 1824 (LINC01824)". The record is from RNAcentral. Lineage: Eukaryota; Metazoa; Chordata; Mammalia; Primates; Hominidae.